RNAcentral lists this ribosomal RNA (1032 nucleotides) under Chauviniella coriifolia. Its description in RNAcentral is "LSU rRNA". It matches the Rfam family "Eukaryotic large subunit ribosomal RNA", at positions 850 to 1863 of the family's 3401-position model. The record is from RNAcentral. Lineage: Eukaryota; Rhodophyta; Florideophyceae; Ceramiales; Delesseriaceae.
AGCCAAGAACUCUGUGAGCUGUAGCGGUGCUGACGUGCAAAUCGCUCGUCAAACUUGAGUAUAGGGGCGGAAGACUAAUCGAACCAUCUAGUAGCUGGUUUCCUCCGAAGUUUCUCUCAGGAUAGCAGGCCCAAAUAAUGAUUGUUGUGUGUGGUAAAGCGAAUGAUUAGCAUACUCGGGGGCGCUUAGCCUUCGGAUGAUUCUCAAACUUUAAAUGCGCACGGAUGUUGCCGCUUGGGUGGGCGGCAUCUCUAAAAACUUGGGCUUUGUGGGCCACUUUUGGUAAGCAGAACUGGCGAUACGGGAUGAACCGUAAGUGUGGUUAAGGCGUCAAAUUGUCCGCUUAUAGAUUCCAAAAAAGGUGUUGAUUCAUCGAGACAGCAGGACGGUGGCCAUGGAAGUCGGAAUCCGCUAAGGAGUGUGUAACAACUCACCUGCCGAAUGAAUUAGCCCUGAAAAUGGAUGACGCUAAAGCGGGCAGCCGACACCACACCGUUUGAGUGAGAAAUAAAAAAAAAUGCUUAAAUGAGUAGGAGGAACGUGGUGGUUGUGUUGAAGCGUGCGUGCAAACGUGCGUGGAACGGCCACUAGUGCAGAUCUUGGUGUUAGUAGCAAAUAUUCAAACGAGAACCUUGAAGGGCGAAGCGGGGAAGGGUUCCACGCCAACAUUGAUUGAGCGUGGGUAAGUCGUUCCUAAGCCGCGUGGCAAUAGCUAAAAAUCGGCGAAAGGGAAGCAGGUUGAUAUUCCUGCACACGGAUGUGGAAGCGGUGACGCAUUUUACUUGGGGCGGUGAAGCUGGCGGUGGCUCUGGGCAGAGUUGUCUUUUCUGUUUAACUGUAUUUUUUUUUACUGGGCUCGUAGUGUGGAAUCCGAUUGUCGGGAGAAACACACGGGUUUGGGAAUAGCGCCGGGUUUUUCUCCGGCGUCCAGAACGCCAUCGUCGGACCUUGAAAAACUGCCUGCAGGCGCAAGCCUAAUAAUGAAAUAUUUUAUGAAAAUCCACGCCGUGACGUACCGAUAACCGCAGCAGG